GAUGAACGCUAGCGGCAGGCUUAAUACAUGCAAGUCGAGGGGGAUCAGUUGGGUAGCAAUACCCGGCUGUGAGACCGGCAAACGGGUGCGGAACACGUACGCAACCUUCCCAAAACUGGUGAAUAGCCCUCCGAAAGGAGGAUUAAUACACCGUAACAUAUAGAGGUGGCAUCAUCUUUAUAUUAUAGCUCCGGCGGUUUUGGAUGGGCGUGCGCCUGAUUAGGUAGUUGGCGGGGUAACGGCCCACCAAGCCUACGAUCAGUAACUGGUGUGAGAGCACGACCAGUCACACGGGCACUGAGACACGGGCCCGACUCCUACGGGAGGCAGCAGUAAGGAAUAUUGGUCAAUGGACGAAAGUCUGAACCAGCCAUGCCGCGUGAAGGAUGACGGCCCUCUGGGUUGUAAACUUCUUUUAUCUGGGACGAAAAAAGAUCAUUCCUGAUCACUUGACGGUACCAGAGGAAUAAGCACCGGCUAACUCCGUG
This 488-nucleotide ribosomal RNA is filed under the name uncultured bacterium. Its description in RNAcentral is "bacterial SSU rRNA". It matches the Rfam family "Bacterial small subunit ribosomal RNA", at positions 28 to 507 of the family's 1533-position model. The record is from RNAcentral.